Molecule: ribosomal RNA, 497 nt
Filed under: uncultured bacterium
Lineage: Bacteria
Description: partial 16S ribosomal RNA
Rfam family: Bacterial small subunit ribosomal RNA
Source: RNAcentral
GACGAACGCUGGCGGCGUGCCUAAUACAUGCAAGUUGAGCGCUGAAGGUUGGUACUUGUACCGACUGGAUGAGCAGCGAACGGGUGAGUAACGCGUGGGUAAUCUGCCUUUGAGCGGGGGACAACAUUUGGAAACGAAUGCUAAUACCGCAUAAAAACUUUAAACACAAUUUUUAAGUUUGAAAGAUGCAAUUGCAUCACUCAAAGAUGAUCCCGCGUUGUAUUAGCUAGUUGGUGAGGUAAAGGCUCACCAAGGCGAUGAUACAUAGCCGACCUGAGAGGGUGAUCAGCCACAUUGGGACUGAGACACGGCCCAAACUCCUACGGGAGGCAGCAGUAGGGACUCUUCGGCAAUGGACGACAGUCUGACCGAGCACCGCCGCGUGAGUGCAGAAGGUUUUCGGAUCGUAAAACUCUGUUGGUAGAGAAGAACGUUGGUGAGAGUGGAAAGCUCAUCAAGUGACGGUACCUACCCAGAAAGGGACGGCUAACUACGUG